CGCCUCUUGCAAAACCAAAGAAUAAGAGGUCCCGCCUGCCCGGUGACUAUAUGUUUAACGGCCGCGGUAUUUUGACCGUGCGAAGGUAGCGUAAUCACUUGUCUUUUAAAUGGAGACCUGUAUGAAUGGCAUAACGAGGGCUUAACUGUCUCCUCUUUCCAGUCAAUGAAAUUGAUCUCCCCGUGCAGAAGCGGGGAUAAAUACAUAAGACGAGAAGACCCUAUGGAGCUUUAGACACCAAGACAGAUCAUGUUAAACACCCCUUAACAAAGGCCCGAACUUAAUGACCCCCUGUCCUAAUGUCUUCGGUUGGGGCGACCAUGGGGCAGCACAAAACCCCCAUGCGGACUGGGAGAACAAACCCAAAACCCUUUUUCCCACACUCCCACAAGCAAGAGUUACAACUCUAACUAGCAGAACCUCUGACCUCUUACGAUCCGGCUUCCGCCGAUCAACGGACCAAGUUACCCUAGGGAUAACAGCGCAAUCCCCUUUUAGAGCCCAUAUCGACAAGGGGGUUUACGACCUCGAUGUUGGAUCAGGACAUCCUAAUGGUGCAGCCGCUAUUAAGGGUUCGUUUGUUCAACGAUUAAAGUCCU
RNAcentral lists this ribosomal RNA (599 nucleotides) under Caranx ignobilis (giant trevally). RNAcentral's name for it is "partial 16S ribosomal RNA". It matches the Rfam family "Bacterial large subunit ribosomal RNA", at positions 1817 to 2597 of the family's 2925-position model. The record is from RNAcentral. Lineage: Eukaryota; Metazoa; Chordata; Actinopteri; Carangiformes; Carangidae.